Oryza sativa Japonica Group (Japanese rice) is the source of this 225-nucleotide microRNA precursor. It matches the Rfam family "MIR807 microRNA precursor family". The record is from Rfam. NCBI's taxonomy places the organism in Eukaryota, Viridiplantae, Streptophyta, Magnoliopsida, Poales, Poaceae.
AACCACACUAUCGAUAAAUGGAUUCACCCGUGAGAUGACGUGGUCGUUCCUAGAUGGAACGACCACGUCAUCUCACGGGUGAAUCCAUUUAUCGAUAGUGUGGUUUUGUGAAACUAAACUACCAAUUACCAGCCAUCGCACGAAAUUAAUAGGAUGCCACGUCUUCAUCCUAGAUGGAAUGACCACGUCAUCUCACGGGUGAAUCCAUUUAUCGAUAGUGUGGUU